AGGACUAUAAAAGGCUGCUCCCGGAGUUGUUUGUUCUCUUUCACGGCGGGUGUCACCCUGAAAGGGGCAGGAUGCUUUCUGCUGUCCUCUAUGUUUUUUGAAGGGGUUUCCUCCUUUCCCUUCACAUGUUCUUGCUUGCAGUAGUUAACCUCUAGUUUUAUGGACAAAAAUAGCCUUGCUUCCAGCGGCAAGGAACACUGGUGUCUUUGAUGCCAGUGCGCAGAAUGGAAUGUCCAGAGAUGAGCGACUAGAUUGGAUCCAUCUGGAAUGUUGAGGCCGGGCAGUUAAAGAUGAGAAAUUAUCUUACUGGUCGGCCUCUGCGCAACUCUCAAAGCAACGAAACUAAUGACCACUCAACCAAAGCGAAACAAAACAACCAACCAAACAAACAAACAACUUUUUUUUUAUUUUAGCUUAUUUUUUUAGUUUGUUUUUUUAGCUUUAGGUUGUCUGCGUUGCUUGGUUCGGUGGGUUGAGAGGCGCCAACCGAUAAAGUCAAAUGCCUCCUUUUAAGGCUGUACGCAUAAUUUCUGUCAACUUAAAAAAACAAUAAAAAAAGAAAAACUUCUUCUAAA
Hemiscyllium ocellatum (epaulette shark) is the source of this 575-nucleotide long non-coding RNA. RefSeq lists it as uncharacterized. NCBI's taxonomy places the organism in Eukaryota, Metazoa, Chordata, Chondrichthyes, Orectolobiformes, Hemiscylliidae. The record is from RefSeq and is a predicted model, not a curated record. The transcript has 3 exons.